RNAcentral lists this ribosomal RNA (468 nucleotides) under uncultured bacterium. Its description in RNAcentral is "partial 16S ribosomal RNA". It matches the Rfam family "Bacterial small subunit ribosomal RNA", at positions 28 to 507 of the family's 1533-position model. The record is from RNAcentral.
GACGAACGCUGGCGGCGUGCUUAACACAUGCAAGUCGAACGGAAAGGCCCUGCUUUUGUGGGGUGCUCGAGUGGCGAACGGGUGAGUAACACGUGAGUAACCUGCCCUUGACUUUGGGAUAACUUCAGGAAACUGGGGCUAAUACCGGAUAGGAGCUCCUGCUGCAUGGUGGGGGUUGGAAAGUUUCGGCGGUUGGGGAUGGACUCGCGGCUUAUCAGCUUGUUGGUGGGGUAGUGGCUUACCAAGGCUUUGACAGGUAGCCGGCCUGAGAGGGUGACCGGCCACAUUGGGACUGAGAUACGGCCCAGACUCCUAUGGGAGGCAGCAGUGGGGAAUAUUGCACAAUGGGCGGAAGCCUGAUGCAGCAACGCCGCGUGCGGGAUGACGGCCUUCGGGUUGUAAACCGCUUUCGCCUGUGACGAAGCGUGAGUGACGGUAAUGGGUAAAGAAGCACCGGCUAACUACGUG